AGCAGCCGCGGUAAUUCCAGCUCCAAUAGCGUAUAUUAAAGUUGUUGCAGUUAAAAAGCUCGUAGUUGAACUUCGGGGUUUACCCAUUGGUCAGGCUUAAUUGUCUGUACUGGUGAGAUGAAUCUCUACCUUCUGAGGAACUUUCAUGCCAUUUAUUUGGUGUGAUGGGAAAUCAGGACUGUUAUUUGAAAAAUUAGAGUGUUUAAAGCAGGCUAACGUCUGAAUACAUUAGCAUGGAAUAAUGAAAUAGGACGGACUGAUUCUAUUUCGUUGGUUUCUAGGAUCACCGUAAUGAUUAAUAGGGAUAGUUGGGGGCAUUAGUAUUCAAUUGUCAGAGGUGAAAUUCUUGGAUUUAUUGAAGACUAACUACUGCGAAAGCAUUUGCCAAGGAUGUUUUCAUUAAUCAAGAACGAAAGUUAGGGGAUCGAAGACGAUCAGAUACCGUCGUAG
Molecule: ribosomal RNA, 450 nt
Filed under: uncultured Diversispora
Lineage: Eukaryota; Fungi; Glomeromycota; Glomeromycetes; Diversisporales; Diversisporaceae
Description: SSU rRNA
Rfam family: Eukaryotic small subunit ribosomal RNA
Source: RNAcentral